AACGAACGCUGGCGGCAGGCCUAACACAUGCAAGUCGAACGCUGUAGCAAUACAGAGUGGCAGACGGGUGAGUAACGCGUGGGAACCUUCCCAAUGGUACGGAAUAGCUCAGGGAAACUUGAGGUAAUACCGUAUAAGCCCCUAGGGGGAAAGAUUUAUCGCCUUUAGAGCGGCCCGCGUCUGAUUAGCUAGUUGGUGAGGUAAAGGCUCACCAAGGCGACGAUCAGUAGCUGGUCUGAGAGGAUGAUCAGCCACAUUGGGACUGAGACACGGCCCAAACUCCUACGGGAGGCAGCAGUGGGGAAUCUUGCGCAAUGGGCGAAAGCCUGACGCAGCCAUGCCGCGUGAAUGAUGAAGGUCUUAGGAUUGUAAAAUUCUUUCACCGGGGACGAUAAUGACGGUACCCGGAGAAGAAGCCCCGGCUAACUUCGUGCCAGCCGCCGCCGUAA
Molecule: ribosomal RNA, 449 nt
Filed under: uncultured bacterium
Lineage: Bacteria
Description: partial 16S ribosomal RNA
Rfam family: Bacterial small subunit ribosomal RNA
Source: RNAcentral